This 466-nucleotide ribosomal RNA is filed under the name uncultured bacterium. RNAcentral's name for it is "partial 16S ribosomal RNA". It matches the Rfam family "Bacterial small subunit ribosomal RNA", at positions 28 to 507 of the family's 1533-position model. The record is from RNAcentral.
GAUGAACGCUGGCGGCGUGCUUAACACAUGCAAGUCGAACGAUGAAGCCCAGCUUGCUGGGUGGAUUAGUGGCGAACGGGUGAGUAACACGUGAGUAACCUGCCCUUAACUCUGGGAUAAGCCUGGGAAACUGGGUCUAAUACCGGAUAGGAGCGUCCACCGCAUGGUGGGUGUUGGAGAGAUUUAUCCGUUUUGGAUGGACUGGGGGCUUAUCAGCCUGUUGGAGAGGUAAUGGCUAACGAAGGCGACGACGGGUAGCCGGCGUGAGUGGGGGACCGUCGGCAAUGGGACUGAGACACGGCGCAGACUCCAACGGGAGGCAGCAGUGGGGAAUAUUGCACAGUGGGCGCAAGCCUGAUGCAGCGGCGCCGCGUGUGGGAUGACGGCCUUCGGGUUGUAAACCUCUUUCAGUAGGGAAGAAGCUAAAGUGACGGUACCUGCAGAAGAAGCACCGGCUAACUACGUG